Molecule: ribosomal RNA, 492 nt
Filed under: uncultured bacterium
Lineage: Bacteria
Description: partial 16S ribosomal RNA
Rfam family: Bacterial small subunit ribosomal RNA
Source: RNAcentral
AGUGAACGCUGGCGGUAGGCCUAACACAUGCAAGUCGAACGGCAGCACAGUAAGAGCUUGCUCUUACGGGUGGCGAGUGGCGGACGGGUGAGGAAUACAUCGUAAUCUACUUUUUCGGGGGGGAUAACGUAGGGAAACUUACGCUAAUACCGCAUACGACCUACGGGUGAAAGGAGGGGAACUUCGGACCUUGCGCGAUUGAAUGAGCCGCUGUCGGAUUUGCUAGUUGGCGGGGUAAAGGCCAACCAAGGGGACGAUCCGUAGCUGGUCUGAGUGGAUGGUCACCCACACUGGAAGGGGGACACGGUCCAGACUCCUGCGGGAGGCAGCAGUGUGGAAUAGUGGACAGUGGGCGCAAGCCUGGUCCAGCCAUACCACGUGUGAGAAGAAGGCCUUCGGGUUGGAAAGCCCUUUUGUUGGUAAAGAAAAGCAUCAGGUUAAUACCCCGCUGUUCUGACGGUACCCAAAGAAGAAGCACCGGCUAACUUCGUG